ACCAAACACACACUUAGGUGUGUUUGGCCGAUUAAAAACGCAGGGAACGAGCAGGAGCUUCACACAAACCCUAACUCUCACUAAAUCAGUCAAUUGAAGGCUCUAAUCUGGUCCAAAUCGAAAUCCGAGCACGUAUUAGUGAUCCCCACUGAAAAAGGAGUCACAAGGCAUGAGUUUGACUCUAAACAAGCUAGGUGGGAGCUUGGAAAGGAACGGGUCAAACGAAUGA
RNAcentral lists this long non-coding RNA (229 nucleotides) under Helianthus annuus (common sunflower). Its description in RNAcentral is "sRNA HanXRQr2_Chr06g0272571". The record is from RNAcentral. Lineage: Eukaryota; Viridiplantae; Streptophyta; Magnoliopsida; Asterales; Asteraceae.